AGAACGAACGCUGGCGGCAUGCCUAACACAUGCAAGUCGAACGAGACCUUCGGGUCUAGUGGCGCACGGGUGCGUAACGCGUGGGAAUCUGCCCUUGGGUCCGGAAUAACUCAGAGAAAUUUGAGCUAAUACCGGAUGAUGACGUAAGUCCAAAGAUUUAUCGCCCAGGGAUGAGCCCGCGUAAGAUUAGGUAGUUGGUGGGGUAAAGGCCUACCAAGCCGACGAUCUUUAGCUGGUCUGAGAGGAUGAUCAGCCACACUGGGACUGAGACACGGCCCAGACUCCUACGGGAGGCAGCAGUGGGGAAUAUUGGACAAUGGGCGAAAGCCUGAUCCAGCAAUGCCGCGUGAGUGAUGAAGGCCCUAGGGUUGUAAAGCUCUUUUACCCGGGAUGAUAAUGACAGUACCGGGAGAAUAAGCCCCGGCUAACUCCGUGCCAGCAGCCGC
RNAcentral lists this ribosomal RNA (446 nucleotides) under uncultured bacterium. RNAcentral's name for it is "SSU rRNA". It matches the Rfam family "Bacterial small subunit ribosomal RNA", at positions 26 to 518 of the family's 1533-position model. The record is from RNAcentral.